AUGAUUGUGUUGUCUAUGUUUAAUUAUGGUUAUGUACAUUAAAAACAAAAUUAAUUAGUUAAAAACAUACAAUGUGAUACUUCGUUAAUGCAGAAGUAGCAGUAAUUGAUAAAACAAGGUAUAGGAAGAUGUAGUUGUUCCAAAGAAAGAGUAUUUUCAACCCAAGGAAAAUUCGUCGUAACCUAACUUAUUGUGCCCCCUUCAGAAAGAACACAACCAUUUAAGCUGUUUUGGUUGUGAUUAAGCAGGUACCAAGAACAAAACUUCAUCAGUCAUAUUUAUGAAGAACAGAAUACAUUUUUUUAAACAUAUUUACUCAGAACAGAACGUGACAUUAUAUUUUUAUUACAAUGAUGUAUAGAUCCAAAAUCAACUUUGAAAUAUUUCAUAUCAGUGUCAAGAUCCUCUAGGAUCCUCUUAAUUUAAACCAAAGCCAAGUGAGCAAACUUAAAUUGUCGCUAAAGCUGUCUCGUUUGGUUUUGCUACCCUUUCACUGCACUGUUUGCAAAUAAAACAUGCUGUUACUUAAAACCACUACAACAUUCAGUCUAAUAUUUUAAGGAUAAAUAAAUGCUCUUAAUACCCACACAGCUUCAGCUCUUGCUGUCAUUAUCCUUUCCUUUUAAAAACUAUAUUUUAACAUUUGUCUUAUGAUUCUAUAAGUAUAAAUAAAACAAACACAAUUAACCAAUAUUUUAUUUAUUGCAAUAUCAAUAACGUUACUUAUAUAAUAAGACCUAAGCUUCUAGAAAAACAAGUACUUUAUAAUGUGGCACUUGACCUACCUCACAUGAAAUAGACAAUAUUACAUCAGUCUCACUGGUGCUCGUUUCUUCUGCUAAGGGGUUCUCCCAAUUUUUAAACGAGACCCCUCAAUUCAGAAACAAAUACAACAACUUUUUAGUAUCCCAGUCACUUAAUAUACCGACAGAAAAUGACGAUUUUUGCACAUAAAUGAAAAAGAAUAUUAUAAGAGAAGAAUAAUUCCAUUUUCCGCAUAGAUAUAAACUGGCUGGAGCACUUUAAAAUGCAGUUAUCGUAUUAAUAUUACUGAAAAAUGCCAAGAAAACGAAAACAAUUACAAAAAAAAAUAUUAAAAAGUCACAUUUCCAUCAUUACUCCAUAAAUAAGGCAAUUAGUAACUUAAUACCGAUUACAAAAAUAAAUAAGUACUUAAUUUCCUAAACGCUCAGAUUAUAGUACAUUUCAUAAAUGCCAAUUAAGUAAAAUAUUUGUGAUGUUUUAAAAAUUAAAUUUGUGAUGUAAUUAUCUAUUUAACCGGAAUUUGUUUUAAUAUUUGAAAAACUUGGGAAAUUUACUUUAAUUAAUUUUUGUGAAUUAUAAUUAAUUUAUUAUGGAACUCAACUGACUCCAUCAAUGUAUUAUAUCUUAAACUUUAUGGGGAACUCCAUGACGAUAAUAUACAAAGAAAAAUGUUAGAAAAAAUAAAAUAGAAAAUUUAAACAAACUUAAAAGAAAUCUGUUACCAACAAUAUAGUAUGUAUAAAAUAACUUUUUGUUUGUUAAAAUCGUACAGGAAGGGUGUGAAAUAAUUAUCGAAUAACAUAAGGGCACCAGCUUUUUCUUAUGACUUCGAAAUUAAACAACGGAAAACUCGCUUUGAAAUUAAUGAUGGUAUUAACAAUAUUGCAUCUAGGAAAAUUCCAUGUUUUACAUUCGUUAUAAAAAUGAAAAAUAAUAAAUCAAGAGCUUAAUAUCCUUUCCUUAUUGAAUAAAUAAGAGAGUACAGUACAGUACAGUAUGCCAAAUUAUUAUAGUUUUUAGAUACAAAAGUAAUAAUUUCAAGCAAAAGAUAUUCAAACUUUACUGUACAGAAUAUAUAAAUGUAUAACGAUAAAAUAAUAAUAGUUGGAAAGUUAUUAUAUUUACAACUUAACUGUAGUUGAUAUUCAAAAAAAUUAGGUUUGUUACAGAAAUAUUUUUAAGGCAGCUAGUAACUGUAAUGGUACAAUAAUUUCAGCAACAUUAGGUACAUAAUAUAUUUAAAAAUGUAUGAAGUAUUAAACAAAUUAAAAAUUCACUUUUUUUUGUUGAAUUUGUCAAAUAUAGCUCAAAAGGUAAAUAAAAACUAUAUAAUAGAACUUGUUUACUUUUACGUUUCUAAAUUAUUGUUUCUCUAAUAACCAUUACAUAAAGUCGCCCUUUUACCUUUUGCUGCCUUAAAAAACCAUAAAAGAAAAAGUAAAAAUAAAGACCAACUGCAACAAAUGUAAAACAUGGACUUCAUAGCCAACAAAAAAGUGUGUGUCCUUACACAAUGUUUGAAGUGAAUACUUCCUGUACCAAAUAGUUGCACUAUUCGAUGCACGACAGGCUCGAUAAUUCUACGCGUCUACCACACGUGGAAAAUAAUUUGACACGCGCUUAUCUACUGUCACAUAAGAAGUAUUCAUUUCAAAAAUAAAAAAAUAGUAAUUAUAAUAAUCAUUACCGUUCAUACAUUACAUACUCGAGUUAGUUCCUUAUUGGUUUUGCAUACAUCAGUCAUCAACAUUCGUGGCAGUAGAUGCAGUAGUAGAAGGAUGCCACCAACCCACCGACCA
Agrilus planipennis (emerald ash borer) is the source of this 2564-nucleotide long non-coding RNA. RefSeq lists it as uncharacterized. The record is from RefSeq and is a predicted model, not a curated record. The transcript has 2 exons. Lineage: Eukaryota; Metazoa; Arthropoda; Insecta; Coleoptera; Buprestidae.